GAGUGGCGAACGGGUGAGUAACACGUGGGUAACCUGCCCAUCAGAAGGGGAUAACACUUGGAAACAGGUGCUAAUACCGUAUAACACUAUUUUCCGCAUGGAAGAAAGUUGAAAGGCGCUUUUGCGUCACUGAUGGAUGGACCCGCGGUGCAUUAGCUAGUUGGUGAGGUAACGGCUCACCAAGGCCACGAUGCAUAGCCGACCUGAGAGGGUGAUCGGCCACACUGGGACUGAGACACGGCCCAGACUCCUACGGGAGGCAGCAGUAGGGAAUCUUCGGCAAUGGACGAAAGUCCGACCGAGCAACGCCGCGUGAGUGAAGAAGGUUUUCGGAUCGUAAAACUCUGUUGUUAGAGAAGAACAAGGAUGAGAGUAAAAUGUUCAUCCCUUGACGGUAUCUAACCAGAAAGCCACGGCUAACUACGUGCCAGCAGCCGCGGUAAUACGUAGGUGGCAAGCGUUGUCCGGAUUUAUUGGGCGUAAAGCGAGCGCAGGCGGUUUCUUAAGUCUGAUGUGAAAGCCCCCGGCUCAACCGGGGAGGGUCAUUGGAAACUGGGAGACUUGAGUGCAGAAGAGGAGAGUGGAAUUCCAUGUGUAGCGGUGAAAUGCGUAGAUAUAUGGAGGAACACCAGUGGCGAAGGCGGCUCUCUGGUCUGUAACUGACGCUGAGGCUCGAAAGCGUGGGGAGCGAACAGGAUUAGAUACCCUGGUAGUCCACGCCGUAAACGAUGAGUGCUAAGUGUUGGAGGGUUUCCGCCCUUCAGU
Molecule: ribosomal RNA, 765 nt
Filed under: uncultured bacterium
Lineage: Bacteria
Description: bacterial SSU rRNA
Rfam family: Bacterial small subunit ribosomal RNA
Source: RNAcentral